RNAcentral lists this ribosomal RNA (467 nucleotides) under uncultured bacterium. RNAcentral describes it as "partial 16S ribosomal RNA". It matches the Rfam family "Bacterial small subunit ribosomal RNA", at positions 28 to 507 of the family's 1533-position model. The record is from RNAcentral.
GACGAACGCUGGCGGCGUGCUUAACACAUGCAAGUCGAACGGAAAGGCCUCUUUCGGGGGGUACUCGAGUGGCGAACGGGUGAGUAACACGUGAGUAACCUGCCCUUUACUUUGGGAUAACUUCAGGAAACUGGGGCUAAUACCGGAUAGGAGCUCCUGCUGCAUGGUGGGGGUUGGAAAGUUUCGGCGGUUGGGGAUGGACUCGCGGCUUAUCAGCUUGUUGGUGGGGUAGUGGCUUACCAAGGCUUUGACGGGUAGCCGGCCUGAGAGGGUGACCGGCCACAUUGGGACUGAGAUACGGCCCAGACUCCUAAGGGAGGCAGCAGUGGGGAAUAUUGCACAAUGGGUGGAAGCCUGAUGCAGCAACGCCGUGUGCGGGAUGACGGCCUUCGGGUUGUAAACCGCUUUCGCUCAUGACGAAGCUUUGUGUGACGGUAGUGGGUAAAGAAGCACCGGCUAACUACGUG